This 474-nucleotide ribosomal RNA is filed under the name uncultured bacterium. Its description in RNAcentral is "bacterial SSU rRNA". It matches the Rfam family "Bacterial small subunit ribosomal RNA", at positions 335 to 803 of the family's 1533-position model. The record is from RNAcentral.
ACUCCUACGGGAGGCAGCAGUGGGGAAUAUUGCACAAUGGGCGCAAGCCUGAUGCAGCCAUGCCGCGUGUGUGAAGAAGGCCUUCGGGUUGUAAAGCACUUUCAGUCGUGAGGAAGGUGGUAGUGUUAAUAGCACUAUCAUUUGACGUUAGCGACAGAAGAAGCACCGGCUAACUCCGUGCCAGCAGCCGCGGUAAUACGGAGGGGGCUAGCGUUAUUCGGAAUUACUGGGCGUAAAGCGCACGUAGGCGGAUCAGAAAGUCAGAGGUGAAAUCCCAGGGCUCAACCUUGGAACUGCCUUUGAAACUCCUGGUCUUGAGUUCGAGAGAGGUGAGUGGAAUUCCGAGUGUAGAGGUGAAAUUCGUAGAUAUUCGGAGGAACACCAGUGGCGAAGGCGGCUCACUGGCUCGAUACUGACGCUGAGGUGCGAAAGCGUGGGGAGCGAACAGGAUUAGAUACCCUGGUAGACUGUCAU